ACAAACCAUCUGUGUGAUUUUGUUCUCAAAUGCAAUAGAAAUAUUGAUAAAGUCACAUGGCCGAAAAUAUAAUUUGUAGUAAGUAUAUAUAUUCGUUAUCACAGACUGUCUUUAGAAAGUUUCCACAAGUGGAGCCGCUGGCGUCGAGUCGGAGCAACAGGAUGUGGCCUCUCGUCUUUCUGCUCUGCUUCAUUCAAGGUUUUGGUGUUCAAGCGGUCCAAUGGAAGAUUAUAACAUAUACAUCGGUCAUUGUAGAGGUGGAAACAGACUCCGAUAUCUAUAUUACUCUCCAUGGAACUCGCGUAUCUUCCGCAGACAUGAAAUUAGACAACAACUUUGAGAGAGAUAUGCUUAAUACAUUCUUUGUUACAACCGACGACAUUGGUGAUGUGUGCUCAGUGUCCAUCAGGUCUAAUGGUAGUCAAGCUGCUCCUGACUGGAAUUUCAAUUUGGUAAACCGAACUGGGUGCACACUUUGAGUCCGGCACUGACCAACCAGCAUAAAGUUUAUUCACCUGAUGGAACACCUUGCUCAUCGGCUAAAUGGAAUUCUAAGAAAUAUCUGUCAACGUCUACUGUCACCUUUGCACACAACCCUGCUAAUGUUUUGCUUACACUUGAAAAUCUGUAGAAUAUUACAACAAAAGUAACCCAAAUUAUGACAGUGCAUCGCACAUCCCUUAAGGCACUGGAAUGUGGCGACAAGAGCAUAAUUAAUAUGAGUCAAUAAUUGUAAGGUCUUUUACCCCACAAGCAAUUCUAAAGCAAACAAUUGUACAAAAAGAAAAAGAAUGGAAAAUAAUGUCUAAUUUUUCGAAAAAAACGUGUUCUAUGAUUUUGAAGUUUAUCGUUGUCAAUGGCAUCGAAAAUGCAAGGUGAAAAUAAAAAAGUUGAAGCGCAA
Pomacea canaliculata is the source of this 901-nucleotide long non-coding RNA. RefSeq lists it as uncharacterized. The record is from RefSeq and is a predicted model, not a curated record. The transcript has 4 exons. Lineage: Eukaryota; Metazoa; Mollusca; Gastropoda; Architaenioglossa; Ampullariidae.